This 1049-nucleotide long non-coding RNA is filed under the name Marmota monax (woodchuck). Lineage: Eukaryota; Metazoa; Chordata; Mammalia; Rodentia; Sciuridae. The record is from RNAcentral.
CAGGAUCAUUCUUCACCAAACAUCAACAAUUAAUGAUGAUACAAUAAAAUUAAUUGCACUUACUUAUAGUUCAAGGUUUUGAUGUUAGAUUUUAAAAAUACUUUAUUCAUCCAGAUCUAAAAGGCAAUCUAUCAUAUCUCUCUCUAUAAAUGUUCCUGUAUUACCUUGUACAAUUAUGCCUGUGAUCAAUUUGAAGUUCACUGCAGAUAUGAUGAUAUAUAAAGAAAAAAUGUUUUCAAUAAUUUCAAUUUGAAAUAUUUUGCCAUGCUUAGUUUAAAUGCACAAUUAAACUAUUUCAAUAAUACUGCUUCAGAAAGUCAAUGUUAUUCCCUUUCUUGUCUACAAGUAUUUUUUCACAUAGCAAUGGGAAAAAAUAUUUCUUCUAUGAAGUUAUCUUUCCCUGGGGCCAUUAGGCACUUGCUUUUCUUAGGAUCAUGAGGUAGAAGAAAAAGGUCCCAUAAGUGCUAGGCACAGUGAGUUCAAGGAGCAGAGAGGUGGUAAACCAUGGACAGAAAAAGCCUUUGCUUCCCUCGCACACAUGGAUGAACUGUCUUUGUUGUCACUAUCAACCCGACAGUAGGGAUUUCCUUUAACCCACACAGAGAACCAGCAUGGCAACUGAAAUACAAGUAGAAGAAAUGCAUGCGGCCAGCAUGAUGCUGUUUACAUGACUCCCCAGCAUGGUCUGAUUCUCUGAUGUUACCAUGGGUACACUGGCUCAUAGACCUGAGAAUGACCACCAAUUUCUGCACAAGAAAAACCUGUGGUAAUUGUUCAGGUCAACUCAGGAGACAGGAGGAGAACACAGAAGGCUCUUCUUCUACUCCCUCUAUUCUUAUCCUGCUGACUAAAAAACCUCCACCAUCCUGCCCUCAUUUGCAGGCAUAAACCUCUGUUUUAAAAAAAAAUGUUUUCACUCUUGCUGAGUGUUUCUUUGAGUUACUAGCUCCUGGAAUUCCUCCUUCUCUCUUUCUCUCAUAACUUCUCUAAAGUUAACGUCAUAUGAGGGAAACAGUAAGUGCUGGUUCACAAUCUAGAUCUUGUAAAGC